AAGUAAAUGGCCAAAACACUUACUUCUUCAUUGCCUUUUUAUCCAGCCCUAACCUUUCAUAUUGCAUAGCCUUCCCAUGGUUACUGUUAAUAUUGCAUAGCCUUCCAAUUAGAAUCCCAUGGGCAAAACACUUCUUCUUUGCCUUUUUAUCCAGCCCGAACCUUUCAUAUUGCAUAGCCAUGUAGAAGUAAAUGGCCAAAACCUUUCAUAUUGACCAUCCAUGGUUACUGUUAAUUUUGGUGGGAGAUAGUGGGAUACUAGUUGUGCAAUUCUCGGCAUCUCAACCCUUCAAUCACACCCUCAACUAUCAAUCACAGUUUCUUCUUUUCUCCCAUUUCUGUCUAUAUGAUUUGUGGUUUAUUUAUGCAUUUAUUUGAUUGUUUUGUAGUUCUGAGUUGCUUUUAUUUGAUAUAUUGUAGACCCAUGUCUCAAGAGCUCUCUUUGAAUUUUAGGAUCUUGACCUUAGUAGCACACUGCUUAGUGUAAGGCUUGUGACUGUAGUUGCUGCUCUUUCAAGUUAUGGACUGGUUAAAUUAUGUAAAUUACCUGGGCUUAAAUAAUUCAUUUUGUAAAAGAACUAGCAAUCAGGUAUAGGUGGAAUCGGAAAAUAGGGGCGUGGUGGAAUGCGUUUGGAGCUCGACAUGCAUCUGGACUCGGGGUGACUCGUGGAUCGUCCGUCCAAAAUCACCUUUAAAAGGGUUAGUUAUCAUUGUGGUUUGUGCGCAUCCUUUGAAUGCAGUUCUGGAAUUGUGCCUUAGGCUGCUGCCGCAUUGUGCUUCAGCUCAAUGAUCAGAUCUGAGAAGCACGCUGAGCUUGACAACCUUUGCUUGUGCUCAACAUCGGCCCAAAAUUUUCAUCGCCAUCUCUGUCACUAUGGUGGCUUCUUCACUGACCUGGAACUUCCAAAUUACUCGGUGUAUGCUCCUCAUUUACCACCUACAGUCACCUAAUGGUGUGCCAUGGUCAGCUUAGGAUCUGCUGUCGGAGCAUUAACAGUAGCAGCCGAUGAACUGAAAGAAGAAUACAAUAGUGUAAAAAGAACCAUUUU
Molecule: long non-coding RNA, 1048 nt
Filed under: Amborella trichopoda
Lineage: Eukaryota; Viridiplantae; Streptophyta; Magnoliopsida; Amborellales; Amborellaceae
Description: long non-coding RNA (ATRI_LNC001536)
Source: RNAcentral